GGAAGUAGAAGUCGUAACAAGGUCUCCGUUGGUGAACCAGCGGAGGGAUCAUUACCGAGUUUACAACUCCCAAACCCCAUGUGAACCUUACCAAACGUUGCUUCGGCGGGAUGCCCCGGGCGCGGGCCGCAAGGCCUCAGCCCCGGAACCAGGCGCCCGCCGGAGGCCCAAACCAAACUCUUGUUUUUGUAGAAUCUUCUGAGUGGCCUUUUAGGCAAAAAAUGAAUCAAAACUUUCAACAACGGAUCUCUUGGUUCUG
Molecule: unclassified non-coding RNA, 259 nt
Filed under: plant metagenome
Description: partial contains small subunit ribosomal RNA, internal transcribed spacer 1, and 5.8S ribosomal RNA
Rfam family: Eukaryotic small subunit ribosomal RNA (bases 1-54)
Source: RNAcentral